This 800-nucleotide ribosomal RNA is filed under the name uncultured bacterium. RNAcentral's name for it is "bacterial SSU rRNA". It matches the Rfam family "Bacterial small subunit ribosomal RNA", at positions 8 to 813 of the family's 1533-position model. The record is from RNAcentral.
AGAGUUUGAUCCUGGCUCAGGAUAAACGCUGGCGGCGCACAUAAGACAUGCAAGUCGAACGAACAGAAGCUAAUUCUUAACGAUUUAGUGGAAGUUAGUGGCGGACUGGUGAGUAACGCGUGAGCAACCUACCUAUAAGAGGGGGAUAACAGUUAGAAAUGACUGCUAAUACCGCAUAAGCUGAUAAUACUGCAUGGUAUAGUCAGAAAAGGAGCAAUCCGCUAAUAGAUGGGCUCGCGUCCGAUUAGCUAGUUGGUGGGGCAAAGGCCUACCAAGGCGACGAUCGGUAGCCGGACUGAGAGGUUGAACGGCCACAUUGGGACUGAGAUACGGCCCAGACUCCUACGGGAGGCAGCAGUCGGGAAUAUUGCGCAAUGGAGGAAACUCUGACGCAGUGACGCCGCGUAUAGGAAGAAGUUUUUCGGAAUGUAAACUAUUGUCGUUAGGGAAGAGGAAGGACGGUACCUAAGGAGGAAGCCCCGGCUAACUAUGUGCCAGCAGCCGCGGUAAUACAUAGGGGGCGAGCGUUAUCCGGAAUUAUUGGGUGUAAAGGGUGCGUAGACGGGGAAUUAAGUUAGUUGUGAAAUCCCUUGGCUCAACUGAGGAACUGCAACUAAAACUGAUUAUCUUGAGUACUGGAGAGGAAAGUGGAAUUCCUAGUGUAGCGGUGAAAUGCGUAGAUAUUAGGAGGAACACCGGUGGCGAAGGCGACUUUCUGGACAGAAACUGACGUUGAGGCACGAAAGUGUGGGGAGCAAACAGGAUUAGGUACCCUGGUAGUCCACACUGUAAACGAUGGA